UGGCCCAGAUCGUUUACCGUGAAAAAAUUAGAGUGUUCAAAGCAGGCAGAUCCAAUUUUCUGCCACCGAAUACAUUAGCAUGGGAUAAUGGAAUAGGACCCUGUCCUCCUAUUUUCAGUUGGUUUUGGCAGCGCGAGGACUAGGGUAAUGAUUAAUAGGGAUAGUUGGGGGCAUUAAUAUUUAAUUGUCAGAGGUGAAAUUCUUGGAUUUAUGAAAGAUUAACUUCUGCGAAAGCAUCUGCCAAGGAUGUUUUCAUUAAUCAAGAACGAAAGUUAGGGGAUCGAAGACGAUCAGAUACCGUCGUAGUCUUAACCAUAAACGAUGCCGACCAGCGAUUAGGAGACGUUGAAUACAAAACACCACCAUCGGCGCGGUCGUCCUUGGCGUUGGUCCUUCACGGGGCCGGCGCGAGGGCGGCUAGCCC
This 424-nucleotide ribosomal RNA is filed under the name uncultured Acanthamoeba. RNAcentral's name for it is "SSU rRNA". It matches the Rfam family "Eukaryotic small subunit ribosomal RNA", at positions 739 to 1081 of the family's 1831-position model. Lineage: Eukaryota; Discosea; Longamoebia; Acanthamoebidae. The record is from RNAcentral.